This 1341-nucleotide ribosomal RNA is filed under the name Labriocimbex sinicus. RNAcentral describes it as "16S ribosomal RNA". The stretch from base 1090 to 1247 matches the Rfam family "Archaeal large subunit ribosomal RNA", at positions 2544 to 2703 of the family's 2987-position model. Lineage: Eukaryota; Metazoa; Arthropoda; Insecta; Hymenoptera; Cimbicidae. The record is from RNAcentral.
UUUAAUAAUAAGAUUAUUUAUUUUUUUUGUUUAUUUUAUAUUUUAUAAUUUAAUUAUAAUUAUUUUUUAUUGUUUGAGUAUAUUUUAUAGAAAAAAUUUUUAGAAUUAUAGUUUAAUAUUAUUGUAAAAGAAUUUUGAAAUAUUAUGAAAUUUAUUUAAUUAAAAGUAAUAUUUAAUUUAUGUACCUUGUGUAUCAGGGUUUAUUAAAAUUAUUUCAAUUAAAUUGAAUUUUUCUAAUUUAAAAGAUCUAAAUAUUUAUGAAAUUUUUAUUGUAUCAUUAAUAUUUUAAAUUAAUAUUUAGUAAUGAAAUGUUAUUCGUUUUUAAAGUUAUUUAAUUUUUUAAUAAAUAAAUUUAAUUUAUAUAUUAAUUUUUGAAUUAAUAAUUUUUUAUUAUUAUUUUAUUUUAAUAUUUAUAUUUUAGGGGAUAAGCUUUAAAAUAAAUUAUUAUAAUAUUUAUUUUUAAAUUAUGUAUUAAUAUAUUGUAGUCUUAAAAAUAGAUUUUAUAUAAAAAUGUUUUAAUUUAUUAUUGAUUUUAUAAAAUUUAAUUUUAAUUUAAUUUUUUAUUAAAAUUUUUAAUUAAAUAAAUUUAUUUAAUUAAAGAUGAUAAAAUUAGUAAAUUUAUUUAUUUAUAAAUAAAAAUUAUUUGUUAGGUUAAUUUAAGGAAUUCGGCAAAAAUUUAUAUUUGCUUGUUUAACAAAAACAUCGUUUUUUGAAUAUAAUUUAAAAUCUGAUCUGCUCAAUGAAUUUAAAGUUUAAAUAGCCGCAGUAUUUUGACUGUGCAAAGGUAGCAUAAUAAUUAGUCUUUUAAUUGAAGGCUGGAAUGAAAGAUUUGACAAGAUAUAAACUGUCUUAAUUUAAAUUUAAUUGAAUUUAAUUUUUAAGUUAAAAAGCUUAAAUUUAUUUAAAGGACGAGAAGACCCUAUAGAGUUUUAUAAUUUAUUAAAUUUGAUAAUUUAAAUUUUAUUUUAAAUUUGAUAAAUUAUUUUGUUGGGGUGAUAGGAAAAUUUAAUAAACUUUUUUAUAAAUUUUACAUUUAUUUAUGAAUUUUUGAUCCUGAAUUUUUGGAUUAAUAGAUUAAAUUACCUUAGGGAUAACAGCGUAAUUUUUUUUAGAGUUCUUAUCGAUUUAAAAGAUUGCGACCUCGAUGUUGGAUUAAAAUUUAAUUUAGGUGAAGAAGCUUAAAAUUUAGGUCUGUUCGACCUUUAAAAUUUUACAUGAUCUGAGUUCAAACCGGUGUAAGCCAGGUUGGAUUCUAUCCUUAAAUUUUUAUUAAGUUUUUAGUACGAAAGGAAUUAAAUUUAAAUUUGUAAUUUAUAUAAUUGAUUAAAAUUAAAAUUUUUG